UACGUAGGGUGCAAGCGUUGUCCGGAAUUACUGGGCGUAAAGAGCUCGUAGGUGGUUUGUCGCGUCGUCUGUGAAAGCCCCGGGGCUUAACUCCGGGUCUGCAGGCGAUACGGGCAUAACUAGAGUGCUGUAGGGGAGACUGGAAUUCCGUGGUGUAGCGGUGAAAUGCGCAGAAUAUCAGGAGGAACACCGAUGGAGCAGAACGG
This 206-nucleotide ribosomal RNA is filed under the name uncultured bacterium. RNAcentral's name for it is "partial 16S ribosomal RNA". It matches the Rfam family "Bacterial small subunit ribosomal RNA", at positions 524 to 725 of the family's 1533-position model. The record is from RNAcentral.